Molecule: ribosomal RNA, 3498 nt
Filed under: Triticum aestivum (bread wheat)
Lineage: Eukaryota; Viridiplantae; Streptophyta; Magnoliopsida; Poales; Poaceae
Description: partial small subunit ribosomal RNA
Source: RNAcentral
AUGUCAUUCUGGUGGAUGAAUCCCUUGAUGAAGAAGGGUUACAGAAAGCCUCUUGAAGAGAAAGACAUACCUGCGUUGGAUGUUGCAGAUCAAGCAGGCACUCAGUACUCAAUGUUUGUGGACAAAAUCAAUGCUAAGCAAUCAUCUCUUUUCUGGGUAAUUGUUUCAUGCUACAAAAGGGACAUUCUGUUUUCUGGGUUCUUCGCAUUGCUCAAGGUACUCACUCUAUCUUCUGGUCCGUUGCUCGUAAAGGAAUUUAUCAAUGUAUCCUCAGGAAAAGAAGCUUUCAAGCAUGAAGGUGUUGUUAUAGCACUUGGACUUCUUCUGUCUAAAUGCUUGGAGUCAUUAGCCCAGAGACAGUGGUAUUUUCAAACACGGAGGGUGGGAAUCCAAGUGCGGUCACUCUUGUCAGCUUCUAUUUACCGAAAGCAACAGAAAUUAUCAUGCUUUGCCAGUAUAAAACAUUCUUCUGGAGAGAUAAUGAACUAUCUCAUAGUAGAUGCGUACAGGGUUGGGGAGUUUCCUUUCUGGUUCCAUCGGACAUGGACUACCGGCUUCCAACUUGGCAUUGCCUUGGCAGUACUAUACGAUGCAGUUGGUCCUGCAACAAUAGCAUCUGUUCUUGUUAUAAUGCUUACUGUUCUACUGAAUGCCCCUCUGGCCAGGCAACAGCAAGAUUUCCAGAAGAAACUCAUGGAAGCUCAAGACAUGAGGUUGAAAGCUAUGUCUGAGUCUCUUGUGAACAUGAAGGUCCUGAAGCUUUAUGCAUGGGAGGCCCACUUCAAGAGUGUUAUAGAACAUCUUAGGGAGUUGGAGCUAAAAUGGUUGUCAGCAUUCCAACUAGGAAAAGCAUAUACUAGUGUUGUCUUCUGGGCAUCACCUGCACUUGUUUCAGCGGCAACAUUUAUCGCAUGCUAUUUUCUGGGAGUCCCACUUAAUCCUAGCAAUGUAUUCACCUUUGUAGCUGCACUGCGCCUUGUUCAGGACCCUAUCAAUCAUAUUCCAAACGUUAUUGGCUCUGUAAUUCAAGCAAGGGUUGCAUUCUCUCGGAUAAGCAGUUUUCUUGGUGAAUCUGAGCUGCCAAAGGAUCAAAUUUCGAUGGAGCAUUGUGUGUGUAGUCAGUAUCCUAUAGUAUUCAAAUCUGGCUGUUUCUCAUGGGACAGCUCAGGAAAUCCAAAUCCGAGGAAUAUUAAUUUGGAGGUGAAAGCAGGAACGAAGGUAGCAAUCUGUGGCGAGGUUGGCUCAGGAAAAUCCACUCUUUUGGCAGCUAUUCUGGGAGAGGUCCCAAGGACAGAAGGAAUGAGUCAUGUUUGUGGGAAAAUAGCAUAUGUUUCUCAGGAUGCAUGGAUUCAAACAGGAACUUUGCAGAACAUACUUUUUGGGUCUAACAUGGACAAGCAAAGAUAUGAAGAGACUCUCCGGCGGUGUUCUUUGGUGUAUGACCUUGAAAGCUUGCCUUUUGGUGACCGUACUCAAAUUGGGGAAAGAGGAGUUAAUCUUAGUGGAGGACAGAAGCAACGUGUCCAAUUAGCUCGCGCAUUGUAUCAUGAUGCAGAUAUAUAUCUUUUGGAUGAUCCUUUCAGCUGCGUUGAUGCACAUACUGCUUCAAGUCUUUUAAAUGAAUAUGUGAUGGGAGCUUUAUCUGAAAAGACAGUUCUAUUAGUAACCCACCAAGUGGAGUUCCUACACGCAUUUGAUUCUGUUGUCUUAAUGUCCCAUGGGCAGAUCAUGCAUGCUACUUCAUACCAAGAACUGCUAGUGUCUUCCAAACAAUUUCAGGACCUUGUGAAAGCACAUGAAGUCACUACAGACUUUCCUAAUGUUAAAAGAAUGGCUUAUAAUGUAGGCAAGCAGUUUGAGAGGAACGCCUGUGUUAUUCACGGUACGGCAAAAGAAUCCAUCAAGUCAUCAGCAUCUGAUCAACUAAUUAAAACAGAGGGGAGAGAAAUUGGUGACACUGGACUGAAGCCUUAUUUAAUGUAUUUGGGCCAGAAAAAGGGCUACAUAUAUGCUAGUCUUGUGUAUACAGCCAUUGGAUUUGGUUCAAUCAUUUUCUUGCUAUCUAGAGCUCUGUUAGUAGUUGAUCUUGGUCUCCGGACAUCAGGACCUCUAUUUGCCCAACUACUUAGUGGCCUAUUCUGUGCACCCAUGUCUUUCUACCAUUCCACUCCACUUGGAAGGAUACUUAGCCGUGUAUCAUCUGACUUAAGCAUCAUCGAUCUUGAUCUUCCAUUUACGAUGUCCUUCAGUAUUUGUGCCACACUAAAUGCAUAUAUCAAUUCGAGUGUUUUGUGCUUCUUUACCUGGCAAAUUUUGCUUGUUGCUGCACCUGUUAUCAUCAUGGCUGUCAAGUUGCAGAGAUACUACUUAGCCUCCUCAAAGGAAUUGAUGAGGAUCAAUGGCACUACAAAAUCUCUAGUGGCCAAUCAUCUUGGAGAAUCGAUUGCAGGAGCAGUUACAAUAAGAGCCUUUAAGCAAGAAGAUCGUUUUUUUGCUAAAAGUUUGGAUCUUAUCGACAAUAAUGCAAGCCCAUCUUUUCACUGCUUUGCUGCAACUGAAUGGUUGACUCAACGUUUGGAGAUAAUGGGUGCUGCUAUUCUUUCCUUGUCCGCACUUGUUAUUACUCUUCUUCCUGCAGGAACUUAUAGCCCUGGUUCUGUAGGGAUGUUGCUCUCUUAUGGUCUGUCACUUAAUAUGUUAUUCCUGUUCUCUAUACAAAAUCAAUGUUCUCUUGCAAAUCAAAUAAUCUCUGUUGAAAGGUUGAGCCAAUACAUGGGUAUUAUAAAAUAUAAUCAAGAUGCUUCUCCAGUACUUCAUGGAAUUACUUGCACAUUUCAAGGUGGCGACAAGAUUGGGAUAGUCGGUCGAACAGGAAGUGGCAAGACAAGUUUGAUAAAUGCAAUUUUUCGUCUUGUUGAGCCUUCUGGAGGAAAGAUAAUCAUUGAUGACUACGACAUCACAGAAAUGGGGUUACAUGACUUACGAUCUCGAAUUGGUCUUAUCCCUCAAGAUCCUAUACUCUUUUAUGGUUCCAUAAGAUAUAAUUUGGAUCCUCAAGGGCGUUUCUCGGAUGAACAAAUCUGGGAAGUUCUAGGCAAAUGUCAACUAAUUGAAGCAGUUAAAGACAAGCAAGGAUUGGAUUCACAUAUUGUGGAGGGAGGAUCAAACUGGAGCAUGGGCCAAAGGCAGUUACUUUGCUUGGCCCGUGCGCUAUUGAGAAGAAACUGCAUCUUGAUCCUUGAUGAGGCAACAGCAUCCAUUGAUACUGCAACUGAUGCUAUUAUUCAGAAGAUAAUCAGGACGGAAUUCAAGGACAGCACAGUUAUCACAGUUGCACAUCGGAUACCAACAGUGGUGGACUGCACCUGGGUACUUGUUAUUAACAACGGCAAAAUGGUAGAAUACGAUCGACCUCACACACUGAUGGAGAUGGAAGGAUCUUUUUUUAAGGAGCUUCUGUACGAGUACUGGCUGCAAGCAUCGAAAGGAGGCUUGUAG